RNAcentral lists this transfer RNA (67 nucleotides) under Marmota monax (woodchuck). RNAcentral describes it as "tRNA.Undet". Lineage: Eukaryota; Metazoa; Chordata; Mammalia; Rodentia; Sciuridae. The record is from RNAcentral.
GGAUUGUGGCUCAGCGGUAGAGCGCCCCACUAGCAUGGGCAGAACCCGGGUUUGAUCCUCAGCACCA